Molecule: RNA transcript, 1700 nt
Organism: Quercus lobata
Lineage: Eukaryota; Viridiplantae; Streptophyta; Magnoliopsida; Fagales; Fagaceae
Gene name: UDP-glycosyltransferase 43-like
Exons: 1
Source: RefSeq, a predicted model, not a curated record
GGAAAGAUGCGUUGCGUUUUCGAGGUUGUAUUCAUCAUGAUUCAUGGGUCAAUUUGAUUCCCUAAUCUUCUAACUUUUUCUCACAAAACAAAAACAAGAAAACAAGGGGUUCCCAAUUCCAUUUCUAUAUUAUAGUCAUAGGCUACCUAUUGCAAAAACCAUUCUUGAUCAGCCAAAUUAAUAAAGCAAAAACUCAAAGGAGAUGACCAAAUUCGAGGUGGUGUUCAUGACAAGCCCUGGGAUCGGGCACCUUGUUCCAGUUGUUGAGUUUGCACACCAUCUUAUCGAUCAUGACCCUCGAUUUUCUGCCACCAUACUCACCGUAACCAUGCCUCAGAGACCCAUUCUCAACACCUACAUCCAAUCACGCGCUGCCACUUCAACCUCCACAAAUAUCAAAUUCAUCCACCUCCCUAUUGUAGACCCUCCCACACCUGAUCAGUACGAGUCUUCCUUUGGCUACUCAUGCUUACUCAUUGAAAAGCAUAGACCCCAUGUUAAGCAAGCGAUCACCAACCUCAUGGAAACCGAGUUGGACUCAGACCGACGACUCGUCGGUAUCAUCACAGACAUGUUUUGUACUUCCAUGAUCGAUGUAGCCAACGAGCUUGACAUCCCUUGCUACGUUUUCUUUCCAUCUACAGCUACGUUUCUCGGUUUCAUGCUUCAUCUUCCAAUCUUAGACACCCAACUCACCACUGAGUUGGCUAAGUUGGACACUGAGUUGGUCAUUCCGAGUUUUGCUAAUCCAGUUUCUCCGAGCUUGUUGCCUUCUAUAGCAUUGGAGAAAGAAGGGUACUCUUGGUUUUUGCACCACGGAAGCAGGUACUUUGAAACAAUGGGUAUUAUUAUUAAUACAUUUCAUGACCUUGAGCCUUAUGCACUUAAUUCGGUCUCUACGAGUUAAGUACCACCAAUCUAUCCCAUUGGGCCUAUUCUUGACCUUGUUGGUCCGGCCCAAUGGUACCCAGACCAAGCCAACCAUGAACGAAUCAUGAAGUGGCUUGAUGACCAACCUCCAUCAACAGUGGUAUUCUUAAGCUUUGGUAGCCUAGGGUGUCUCAGUGAGUCUCAAGUGAGAGAGAUUGCAUUUGGGCUUGAACUAGCCGAGGUUCGGUUUGUCUGGGCUUUACGUGAGCCAUCUAAGGCCAAAUUUGCCCUCCCGGAUGACUCUACGAGUCUUGAGAAAGUUUUACCGAAUGGGUUUUUGGAGCGAACGACUGGGAUUGGAUUGGUGUGUGGAUGGGUCUCACAAGUGUCAAUUCUAGCUCAUAAAGCAAUUGGAGGAUUCAUAUCACAUUGUGGUUGGAAUUCAAUUUUGGAAAGCUUGUGGCAUGGUAUACCAAUUGCCACAUGGCCAAUUUAUUCUGAACAACAGAUGAAUGCAUUCGAGAUGGUAAAGGAGUUGGGAUUAGCUAUUGAGAUAAGGUUAGAUUAUAGGAAGGGUAGUGAUUUGGUGUUGGCAAAGGAAAUAGAGAGAGGAAUAAAGCAAUUGAUGGACUGUGAUGAUGAGGUGAGGAGAAAAGUAAAGGAAAUGAGCAAAAAGUGUAGGGUGGCUAAGAUGGAAAAUGGAUCAUCAUAUGCGUCACUAGGAGUACUGAUUGAGAAACUAGUGACUUCAUAAUUCAAAUGGGCUCACUUUCUAUUUUUAUGAAAUGAAUUGCAAUAUGUUUUUGUAUGUAUUCACUUUUUAAUCUUUA